Molecule: unclassified non-coding RNA, 250 nt
Filed under: Hevea brasiliensis (rubber tree)
Lineage: Eukaryota; Viridiplantae; Streptophyta; Magnoliopsida; Malpighiales; Euphorbiaceae
Source: RNAcentral
GAAAGGCAGACCAUCGAAGGCAGAUCUGGCACGGCGGUCCGGUGGAGGACUGACAUCGUCGGAAUCUGAACCGCGGCGGAGUCUCCGUCGCCGGAAUGUGAGGUACAACAUCGAUUACGACGACUUUCUUGAAGAAGACGAUGAGGAUGAGGAAGAAGACGAGAGGAGGAGAGAGAAGAAGCUUAAGCUUGUUGUGAAGCUCAACCAGGGAAGAGAUGGAACGCAUCUAUCUCCAGUGGACGGACUUUCU